GGACAUUUGACUGACACUUAAUAUGAAGAUGGAUCUGUUCUUUGUGCUUUGGGUAUUUUCUACAAAUUUAGGUGAUUGCAAUGGACUGGCUAUACAGCCAAGCAUGACUGAGAGUGUAUUCUCUGAGGGCAGCCUUGUGUCUCUGUCAUGUAAUUACACUGGGACAGCGAACACAGAGUCCUUGCUGUGGUAUCGACAGUACCCAUACUCAGGACCAAAAUUUCUCUACCUCUUCAGUGAGACCAGUUUCAAACAGGAGGCUGACCCUCCAGUCCCUGGGUUGACUGUUGAACUGGACAGUGAGCAGAGCCGUGUGUCUCUGCACCUCUCCUCUGCUCAGCCCUCUGACUCAGCGCUCUACUACUGUGCGCUGCAGCCCACAGUGUUGGGGAAACCUGACACCCUGUACAAAAAGCUCAACGUGGCUGUUAAAACUGUUACUAUAAAUACCUGGCAAAGUUUCAUAAAGUAA
Alosa sapidissima (American shad) is the source of this 472-nucleotide non-coding RNA. The record is from the annotation of a RefSeq genome assembly. Lineage: Eukaryota; Metazoa; Chordata; Actinopteri; Clupeiformes; Clupeidae.